GAGACAGUAAGCAGACAAAUACUUUAGAAUGUGACAUAGUCAUAUCCCAAGUUCAUGUGUUAAUUUGAGAGAGAAAGAGGGAGAGAGAGAGAGAGAGAGAGAGAGAGAGAGAGAGAGAGAGAGAGAAUGAGAAUACACCAGGGAUUGGAACCCCCCAAAAUGAACAGCAUUUUUUUUUGAUGUUUCAAAAACUUACAUAAUAAAAUCCAUCUUCAUCGAUUUCACCAAAAACAGUAAUAAUGUCUCCUGUGCAAAAUGGAAGUUCAGCCUGCAAAGACAGAAGACAGAGCCAAGAGCAGAUUGCAACAGAAGACCGAGCUAAGAGCAGAUUGCAACAAGGAUGAUGUGUGGACUCCAGGGUGGAACCCCAGGGCAGCUGUGAGGCCCCACUUUGGAUUUAGCUGGGGUUUGCAAGAAGAACUUAGUCCCCUGUCACGGGACCUGGUUAAUGAAGUUUCAGCUAUACAAACGUCCCAGGGAUUGCAUCUUCUGGAUGCGGCUUUGAUGAGCAUUUGCCGUCUGUGAGUUCUCUGUGCUUCUUCGGGUUGUAUUAUGUGGCUUCUCUGUAGACUGCAAGACCUCUGUGGUCAGGAGUGGAGUAUGAAGCUGAGGAUGGAGGCCUAGGGUCAGCUUCCCCUGGGAAAUGCCAGCUAAGUCUUCCAGGGCGCAAAGGGAUGCCCUGGCUCAGGAACAGCUUAUGCACCUGUUUCUUGGGAAGCCCAGUUGUGUCACGUGAUGUUUUUCUGGACGCUGUCUCGUGAGAGGAUGUUUUGCUGAAGUGGACACAUGAAAGAGCAUGUGAUGUUUUGCCGAAGCAGACACUUGGGAGGGUGUGUGCUACGGAAGUGCAAUGCCUCGCUGGACUUCGCUGGUCUUCAUUUCGUAGACGGAAACGCACCAAAAAUCUUCUUAGAGUAUUCCAGCUGAUUCUGACCGUUUCUGCUGACCUGUGCUGAUUGACUGGAACCUUGAAGUUUCUGCUGGAUCAUGCUGAUGCUACUGAUGCACAUUCGAUGUUUGCUAUUGAAUUGGACUGCUGGUAUCUUGACAACGAAGGGUGAAAUCGCCCCCAUCGAACUACUAAACAGGUCUACAGCUCCCUUUUCCUAUCAACCUUGUCCUUUCCCAAGUGACAAGUAGCUCUGGUCCCUGCGUUAGUAGGGAGCUUGGAGCACUUCAGAACCCAAAAUAAAGUAGAUUUUGAAAAUG
Long non-coding RNA from Mus musculus (house mouse), 1209 nucleotides. RefSeq annotates it as predicted gene 42875. The transcript is spliced from 2 exons. NCBI's taxonomy places the organism in Eukaryota, Metazoa, Chordata, Mammalia, Rodentia, Muridae. The record is from RefSeq and is a predicted model, not a curated record.